This 254-nucleotide ribosomal RNA is filed under the name uncultured bacterium. Its description in RNAcentral is "partial 16S ribosomal RNA". It matches the Rfam family "Bacterial small subunit ribosomal RNA", at positions 524 to 776 of the family's 1533-position model. The record is from RNAcentral.
UACGUAGGGGGGCAAGCGUUGUCCGGAUUUAUUGGGCGUAAAGAGCGUGUAGGCGGCCUGAAAGGUCAGCUGUGAAAACUCGAGGCUCAACCUCGAGACGUCGGUUGAAACCAUCUGGCUAGAGUCCGGAAGAGGAGAGUGGAAUUCCCGGUGUAGCGGUGAAAUGCGCAGAUAUCGGGAAGAACACCGGUGGCGAAGGCGGCUCACUGGCUCAUUUCUGACGCUCAUGCACGACAGCGUGGGGAUCAAACAGG